GCAUAUCAAUAAGCGGAGGAAAAGAAACCAACAGGGAUUGCCCUAGUAACGGCGAGUGAAGCGGCAACAGCUCAAAUUUGAAAUCUGGCUUCGGCCCGAGUUGUAAUUUGCAGAGGAAGCUUUAGGCGCGGCACCUCCUGAGUCCCCUGGAACGGGGCGCCACAGAGGGUGAGAGCCCCGUAUAGUUGGAUGCCUAGCCUGUGUAAAGCUCCUUCGACGAGUCGAGUAGUUUGGGAAUGCUGCUCAAAAUGGGAGGUAAAUUUCUUCUAAAGCUAAAUACCGGCCAGAGACCGAUAGCGCACAAGUAGAGUGAUCGAAAGAUGAAAAGCACUUUGAAAAGAGGGUUAAAUAGCACGUGAAAUUGUUGAAAGGGAAGCGCUUGUGACCAGACUUGCGCCGGGCUGAUCAUCCGGUGUUCUCACCGGUGCACUCUGCCCGGCUCAGGCCAGCAUCGGUCCUCGCGGGGGGAUAAAGGCCCUGGGAACGUAGCUCCUCCGGGAGUGUUAUAGCCCGGGGCGCAAUGCCCUCGCGGGGACCGAGGUUCGCGCUCUGCAAGGAUG
This 560-nucleotide ribosomal RNA is filed under the name Pseudothielavia subhyaloderma. RNAcentral describes it as "partial 28S ribosomal RNA". It matches the Rfam family "Eukaryotic large subunit ribosomal RNA", at positions 38 to 625 of the family's 3401-position model. The record is from RNAcentral. Lineage: Eukaryota; Fungi; Ascomycota; Sordariomycetes; Sordariales; Chaetomiaceae.